GCUCAUCAACCGUUCUUGACCAGUUGAUAACCCGUCAGUCUAUCACUCUCCAUAUUACUAGGGAGACCACAGCCCAUAGCUUGAUUCUCCCAAUCAUUCAUACAAACAUACAUAAUCAUCAUAGUUACAUACUUAUACUUAACCUUCCCAUACAUAAUAUUUCAUAGUUAAACAUUAUCACCAUACAUAUCAAUCAAUAAUCAUCAAAUCAUAUCAUCACAUAAUCUUAUCCUAUGCAAUAAGAUCUAGCCUACAUAUCAUGAGUUAGGAAGCAUAACAAAAGAAAAUGAUACCAUGCUUCGCAAAUACCACCCUCACCUUAGUCUAGUCAAAUAUGACAACACACUUCUCCUUCUUU
Arabidopsis thaliana (thale cress) is the source of this 358-nucleotide long non-coding RNA. RefSeq annotates it as other RNA. The transcript has a single exon. NCBI's taxonomy places the organism in Eukaryota, Viridiplantae, Streptophyta, Magnoliopsida, Brassicales, Brassicaceae. The record is from RefSeq.